Molecule: ribosomal RNA, 498 nt
Filed under: uncultured bacterium
Lineage: Bacteria
Description: bacterial SSU rRNA
Rfam family: Bacterial small subunit ribosomal RNA
Source: RNAcentral
CGGCGUGCUUAACACAUGCAAGUCGAACGAGACGAUUUAGAAGCUUGCUUUUAUUGAGUCGAGUGGCAAACGGGUGAGUAACGCGUAGACAACCUGCCGCAAAGAUGGGGACAACAGUCCGAAAGGACUGCUAAUACCGAAUGUUGUAUCUUCUCCGCAUGGAAGAGAUAUUAAAGAUGGCCUCUACUUGUAAGCUAUCGCUUUGCGAUGGGUCUGCGUCUGAUUAGCUAGUUGGUGGGGCAACGGCCUACCAAGGCGACGAUCAGUAGCCGGUCUGAGAGGAUGAACGGCCACAUUGGAACUGAGACACGGUCCAGACUCCUACGGGAGGCAGCAGUGGGGAAUCUUCCGCAAUGGGCGAAAGCCUGACGGAGCAACGCCGCGUGAGUGAAGAAGGUCUUCGGAUCGUAAAGCUCUGUUGUCGGGGACGAAUGUUGAGACCAAGAACAUAGGUUUCAAAUGACGGUACCUGACGAGGAAGCCACGGCUAACUACGUG